AGUGAACGCUGGCGGUAGGCCUAACACAUGCAAGUCGAACGGCAGCACAGUAAGAGCUUGCUCUUACGGGUGGCGAGUGGCGGACGGGUGAGGAAUACAUCGGAAUCUACUUUUUCGUGGGGGAUAACGUAGGGAAACUUACGCUAAUACCGCAUACGACCUACGGGUGAAAGCAGGGGAUCUUCGGACCUUGCGCGAUUGAAUGAGCCGAUGUCGGAUUAGCUAGUUGGAGGGGUAAAGGCCCACCAAGGCGACGAUCCGUAGCCGGUCUGAGAGGGUGAUCGGCCACACUGGAACUGAGACACGGUCCAGACUCCGACGGGAGGCAGCAGUGGGGAAUAUUGGACAAUGGGCGAAAGCCUGACCCAGCCAUGCCGCGUGGGUGAAGAAGGCCUUCGGGUUGUAAAGCCCUUUUGUUGGGAAAGAAAAGCAGCAGGUUAAUACCCCGCUGUUCUGACGGUACCCAAAGAAUAAGCACCGGCUAACUUCGUG
Molecule: ribosomal RNA, 492 nt
Filed under: uncultured bacterium
Lineage: Bacteria
Description: partial 16S ribosomal RNA
Rfam family: Bacterial small subunit ribosomal RNA
Source: RNAcentral